GGCUAAUGCCGGAUAACAUGUUGAACCGCAUGGUUCUACAGUGAAAGGCGGCUUUGCUGUCACUUAUAGAUGGACCCGCGCCGUAUUAGCUAGUUGGUGAGGUAACGGCUCACCAAGGCAACGAUACGUAGCCGACCUGAGAGGGUGAUCGGCCACACUGGAACUGAGACACGGUCCAG
RNAcentral lists this ribosomal RNA (179 nucleotides) under uncultured Staphylococcus sp. RNAcentral's name for it is "partial 16S ribosomal RNA". It matches the Rfam family "Bacterial small subunit ribosomal RNA", at positions 161 to 334 of the family's 1533-position model. Lineage: Bacteria; Bacillati; Bacillota; Bacilli; Caryophanales; Staphylococcaceae. The record is from RNAcentral.